Molecule: long non-coding RNA, 1218 nt
Filed under: Gouania willdenowi (blunt-snouted clingfish)
Lineage: Eukaryota; Metazoa; Chordata; Actinopteri; Blenniiformes; Gobiesocidae
Description: lncRNA (ENSGWIG00000013656.1)
Source: RNAcentral
UCACACGUACGCUAUUUUGGUAGAUCUUUGUAUUGAAACCAUGACGGGGUGUCUAACAUGCAUGUGUUUUUAUGUCUCCAGGUUUACGGAAUUCCAAUGUACAAUCCAAGGAAAAAUACAACUCCCACUUUUGGAGGACAGUAAGUAAACUAACAAACAGAUGAGAUUAAACACAGACGUGAUUUCUGAUUCAGUUUAUGUUUAACUUUGUAGGAAUGGGAAUGACUUUGGUUUGAUGGUUCAACCAGUGCCCCCAGUGCAGAGUUCCCAGUGAAGGCCCCAGUCUCACAGUGAGUUGUUUUAAUCCUCCAUGUAUUCCUUGUGACUGACUCUUGACCGUGCUCUUACAGUGUGUAUUUGUGAUUUGUUCCUUCAGAAAGGAGAAGAAGGUGACAGAGGAGCCACACAUUAAAAAGCCCCUCAAUGCUUUCAUGCACUUCCUGAAACAGAACAGGAAGUCUGCGGAGGCGGAGCUGGGCGUGAGGACAAGCGCUGUGGUGAACAAACACCUCGCUGAACGGGUAAGUUAGUUUGUUCCUCCAGGAAUCAUCUGUGAUCUUUAAACUCUGGUUUUGUGUGUGUGUGUGACUGAUGCUUUUCUACAGUGGAAAUCAUUGUCACCAGAGGACAAAGAACCAUAUGUUGGUAAGGCCAAUCUGGAUGCUAUCCUCCACUUCAUUGCGAACCCUGAAUGGAGUAACUCAAACAACUAUUGCAAAUAUGAGGAUUACGCCUGAAGCAGCUGAAGAAAAGCAUCCAGUGUUAAGUGUAUUAACAAACAUCUGUUCAUUUUUAAAACCUGGAAACGAGUGUCGGCACCUUUUCCCACAGCUUCGGUACCCGCGCGUCAUAGAUGCAGUUAAAUGUUUCCGCCAUGCUGGAUGACAUCACCACAAAGCCUUUGAUCCCCUUCUCCAGCUCCACCAGUGAUGAUCUACAUGCACACGCACGCACACGCACACACACACAGUUUAAACAUACAGUAGAUUAAUUACAUCACAUGUACAGCUCAGUAUGCUGUAUCUUAAAGAAGUUAAAACUUUGUUUUCAAUUUGAAAACAAAAUAAUGUAAUCUUUAACACAUUGAAUUUAAAUUCCUUUACAAAAAAUAAUCCAAUACAAAACAAAAGCAACUUUUUUGUACAAUAGUAACAUCCAUUUAACAAAAACUAUUUGCAUUUUUAUUUGUAUUUGUGUUUUUUUUUUACAGUUGUCCAG